GAUGCAGCCAGGGAUACUGUGAUGUUUUUCAAUAGGUGCUCAGUUUUGUUGCAUCUUUAGAAAACAGACAAGGUUUAAGUAGUUGGCUGGUUAAAUGGGCCCCAAGUUGCACCAGGGGAGGCUCAGAUUGGAUAUUAGAAGAAAAUUCUUCACUGAAAGCACAGUUAGGCAUAGAAAGGGCUGUCCUAUUGAGUCACACUGAAGAUUCUCCUGAAGGUGAAGGCCUGCCCAUAAGAAAGGCUGCUUUGUGUGCACUUGUCAUUUUUGAAGCUUUAUGAAACUGCUUAGGAGGAAGACUGGUACAAAGCUUUUGUGCAUAAUGCAUGGCACUUGGACAAGCCAGGCUUUAGUGCUUAUUUAGAGACCAUACACUUCAGUAGAUGGAUUUGGAAGUGAAUCCCAGUCCUCACUUUUAAAUCCCAGCUCCCAGUGCUGUGUCCCUGAUGGAUGGGAGAGCAUGGAGACCUUGACCUUGGAGCAGCAUUUCUGGAUCAGCUGUCACCAAGAGCUAGGUGCUCACAGUGCUGGAUGCCCAGGAACACCAAGCUUGGCCAGCACAUCCCUCUCUUCCCUAAUGGGGGCUCCAUGUGCUUGGGAAGGAGGAUGAGGAUGGCACAUGGCCACGUGUGCAGCAGCUCUCACAGCUUUGUCUCUUCCAAAGAGACCUCCAGGUGAUCUGGGGAAAAAAGAAAAUGAAGAAAUGGCUUGGACAAAUGCUUCAUGCUUUUGGUGCCACGAGGGACAUGGGAAGAGUUCUGAGGCUGUUCUAGACCAUCUCAGAGCAGGCAGGAUGCAGGAAUAUGACCCUGGCAGAUGCUCUACAGGGCAGAAUUUUUAACCCAGAUGGAGCCCCCUCACCCACUGUUUGGCUGUGGUAUCUCAUGGAGUGUGUCUGAUGUGUGGGACACGUGAGUUCAUCUACUUCUGUCACAGGGAGUGAGCUGGGACCCAACCAGAAAGAGCUCAGGUUGAUUUUUUGGCAUGUUUGGAGUAGUUGUUGACCUGAUGGAUCUACUGACCAUUAUACAAGCCAGUCUUACAAGCAGCUGUGCAAGCCUGCAAGCCCCGAUUCGUUCUGCAGCAGUGGGGGCAGAAGCCAUGGUGCCGUUUGGUCUGGCAGGUUUGGUGGUUUGGCAGCAGCAAAUGCCCGGGCUCCAGGAAGGAGUCUGCAGUGGAAGGCUCAGGAAGUGAUUGGGGGAAUUUUUACUGCGUGUGACCCUUUUUGUUCAAAUGUUUGAUGGUUACUGGAAGCUCUGUUUACCCCAUAAAGAGAAAGUGUUGAUUAUGCAGGAAAAUAAAGAACUGUCUGCUGGAUGGUGGGGCUGUGUGGGCAGAGCCAGACAGUUCCUAUUACCAGACCAAGGCAGGAUCAGAUGCCUUAAGAUUUUGCUGAAGAGGAUUUAAGAAAUGGUUAAUGAGACAAAGAGAAAAUAAUGCUGACAAGGCAUUCACUUGGUGGUGGAAUGAACCCAGAAGCCCUGCAGGAUGGGUCUUUGCUUUUCUCCUUAUUUGUAGAUCCCAGAUGUUAAUCAUUUUCACCAGUGUUUUCUGGGCUGGCAUGCGAAGCUCAUGGAGGAGAUAUUAAUUCUUGCAACAUUUGUGUGUAAUGUAAGGGAUGAGUUCAAGAUAAGGCAGAGGAGAAAACAGCAGGAAAGGAAGGCUGGCUUGUUAGCAGCUGCUCUGCAAGGCAGGAAUUUCACGGGACAAAAGGGUAAUAAUGGAAAUAAGGGAAAUGGAAAUUUAAAUUGGAGAAGUCCAAAGGAUUACUGCAAUAAAACCAAGACACUGGAAAGAGAAUGUCCUGUGAUCCUGAGGCAGGAGCAAUGAGAGCAACAAAGCGAAAAUCAAAUCAAUCGGGACCCGAAUGAAAGCAAAGAACAAUGAUCAGAGCAGACCCCCAAGCCCUGGCAGUGGAAGGAGAUAGAAAAGCAAUCACCUUGGGGGGGCUUUGGUGAACCAAUUACAGAUUAAAAAAUUGGAGAUGAAAUUUAAGGCAUGUUUGAUAGAUACCAGCACAGUUUAUGUGAUAUUAACAACCCCCCAGGAAGGAUCAACAAUUAAGGGUAAAGUAAAUGUUGUAUGAAUAGAAGGUAAAGCUACCUUUGUACCCAGGGCAUGAUGGCACAGAUACAUCCACAGUCUAAUAAUCAUUCUUUUUCUGCUGUUGGAAUCAGCACCAGCAAACUUGGUGGGGAGGUAUUUGUGACACAAUUUUGGGCACAGUUGCAGUGCUCACCACAAGGAAUUUGUGUGUUCAUAUUGUGGGUAAUGUGCCAAAACAUGAUGGUUAUGUGACUGAAGGGGGAAAGAAAUACCCCAGGAACUCAGAGGUGUCAUGUGGGUUAUUAGAGACAGCUAAUCCAGUACAGCUCAAAAUGCAGGGAGGCAAACCUCCCUCUUUAAAAUAGAACCUGUUAUCUCUGGAAGCAAGAGAAGGUAUAAGACAAAUAAUUGAGGAUUUUCUCCCUUGUGAGUCUCCCUGUCAUACUCCUGUCUUGCUGAUUAAAGAAACCUAAAUUAAGCUUAGAUGGAAGAUCAGUUUAUAAAUUUGUCCAGGAUUCUAGUUCCUGAUACUUCAACAGCUAUAAACAUGAUACUGACUAAUGCAAAAUAUUUUGCAGUAAUUGAUUUGUGCUCAGCAUAAUAGUGCAUCCAGUUUAAUUUUGUCAACAUCUGUGAAUGAAAACAGUAAAUGUGGACUGGAUUUCCUCAAGGGUUUGCAGGAUUGUCAACUUAAUUUCUGAAAAUCCUAGGCAGAUUUAGAGGAGAGUUAACCAAUAACUUUGUAUUAAUACAGUGUGUGGAUGAUGUGCU
Zonotrichia leucophrys gambelii is the source of this 2814-nucleotide long non-coding RNA. RefSeq lists it as uncharacterized. The record is from RefSeq and is a predicted model, not a curated record. NCBI's taxonomy places the organism in Eukaryota, Metazoa, Chordata, Aves, Passeriformes, Passerellidae. The transcript is spliced from 8 exons.